AUAUAAAAUAUGGUUUUCAAAGUUAGUAACUCAUAAGAUCAUGACAUAUGUCAAGUCUAUCAAUUAGAUUUUGACGUGUGAUAGAUUUGUUUUUUACCUUUUUCCUCAAAAAAAAUAGAAAACUAAAAA
RNAcentral lists this small RNA (129 nucleotides) under Arabidopsis thaliana (thale cress). RNAcentral's name for it is "ATSL045380". Lineage: Eukaryota; Viridiplantae; Streptophyta; Magnoliopsida; Brassicales; Brassicaceae. The record is from RNAcentral.